AGGGAUUUAGCUUAGCAGCAUAAGCAUCUGCCUUGCAAGCACAAGGUCGUAAAUUCAAUCCCUG
This 64-nucleotide transfer RNA is filed under the name Cavia porcellus (domestic guinea pig). It matches the Rfam family "tRNA". Rfam says of the family: Transfer RNA (tRNA) molecules are approximately 80 nucleotides in length. Their secondary structure includes four short double-helical elements and three loops (D, anti-codon, and T loops). The record is from Rfam by way of RNAcentral. Lineage: Eukaryota; Metazoa; Chordata; Mammalia; Rodentia; Caviidae.